AUGGCGACCGACGCCGACGAGGCCCCGUUGCUCGCCGACGAGCCCCUGCGGCCGGGAUCCUGCAGCCGGGAGCUCGAGCUGCGGGAGUUCCGCGACCGCUACGUCUUCCGCUCGCUCGACGGCGGCGGCGCCUUCGCCGUCGCCCGCUCCGACGGCUCCCUCCGCCCCCUCUCCCCAGAGGAAGCCGCAGCCGGGAGCGACUGUAAGGUCUCCAAGAUAUACGGAGUGGCCGGUAUGAUCAGGUUGCUCGCCGGAAGCUACGUACUUGUCAUCACUUCUCGGAAGGAUGCUGGCUCUUAUGGGGCUUCCACAGUUUACCAUGCGAAUUCGAUGAAAUUCUUGUGCUGCAACGAGGCUAUAAAGCAUUUAACUUCAGAGGAAAAACGAGAUGAGGCAUACUUCAUGUCUCUCUUGAGAAUUGCAGAAACUACUUGUGGACUUUAUUAUUCGUAUGACAGGGAUUUGACAUUAAACUUGCAGAGGGCAUCAAAGCUGGCUGCGGGGAGGGUACAUAAGCCACUAUGGAAGCAGGCUGAUCCACGGUUUGUUUGGAACAGGAAUUUGUUAGAGAAGCUUAUUGAAACUAAGCUUGAUGAGUUCAUUACCCCACUGAUCCAAGGAAGUUUUCAGACAGAGCAAUUUACCUUGAAGGAUAGACUAGUCAGAAUAACUUUAUUCUCUCAGAGAUGCAACAGGCGUUUAGGGACAAGAAUGUGGAGAAGGGGUGCAAAUCUUGAAGGUGCCACCGCCAAUUUUGUCGAGACAGAACAGCUGGUUGAGUAUGAAGGUUUAACGUCCUCAUUUAUACAGGUUAGGGGCUCUAUUCCACUUCUCUGGGAGCAGAUAGUGGAUUUAAGCUACAAACCACGACCCAGCAUUAUUGAACAUGAAGAAAUGACGAAGGUUGUUGAGCGCCACUUUCACGAUCUUUCACAAAGAUAUGGAGAUACAAUGGUUAUUGAUCUGACCGAUAAACAAGGUGAUGAAGGAAAUUUAAGCAAUGCAUUUGCUGCUGAAAUGCAGAACUUUCCUGAUAUCAGGUAUGUGCACUUUGAUUUCCAUCAUAUUUGUGGCGGAGGGAACUUUGAUAACUUGCAAGUUCUCUAUGAUGAAAUUGAGGAAGCUAUUCAGAAACAAGGAUAUUUCCUUAUGAACUCUAAAGGAGAGAUAUUGUUGGACCAAAGUGGCGUCGUUAGGUCCAACUGCAUAGAUUGCCUGGACCGCACAAAUGUGACGCAGAGUUUCCUUGCAAGAAAAUCUUUGGACUCACAGCUGCAGCGAAUGGGGGCAUUAUCAUCAGCUGAAAGUAUCUCUCAAUCUGAUAGCAUUAACGAUAAAUUUAAAAAAUUGUGGGUUGAGCAUGGUGAUGAGCUAAGCCUUGAAUAUGCUGGUUCUUAUGCCUUAAAGGGAGACCUUGUAAGGUAUGGAAGGCAGACACUGCCUGGAUUGAUUAAAGAUGGCAUGAGCGCUCUUUCCCGGUAUUAUUUGAACAAUUCUCAUGAUGGAGUGCGACAAGAUGCUCUAGAUCUUAUCAGUGGGAAAAAGUAUCUUCCUGUGGCGUCGGCAAUCAUAGUUGGUGGGAUCACUGUCACAACUUUCACUCUUAGUCAAGUUGGACGGAGCGCACAACACCUCAUCUCGUCCAUCAUCUUUGCUGGCUUGACAGCCGGAGUGAUAGCCUUGGUGAAAGCGAAUGGGAAGCAGCUCUGCUCUAGACCCCGAUUAUGCGGUCUGAUCUAG
RNAcentral lists this ribosomal RNA (1740 nucleotides) under Triticum aestivum (bread wheat). RNAcentral's name for it is "partial small subunit ribosomal RNA". Lineage: Eukaryota; Viridiplantae; Streptophyta; Magnoliopsida; Poales; Poaceae. The record is from RNAcentral.